GCCUGCAUCUCUUGCCACAUUGCGGAUCAUAUGAAGAAUGAAUCUUUUCUGAAAUGCUUCAUCGAGUUAAGAACGCUUGGGAGUCAGUCAGGUUGCCAUUCAAGAUAGUUUCCCUUUACCCAAAUGGUGAAAAGAAAUUACAUAAUGAUGAUUAGUGAAUGAAAGCAACAGUGGCAAAACUGAAGGAGGAAGGUUAGCAUCAAGCUAAAAAGGAGACAUCAAGAAUUGAUAAUUCAAAUGAAGGAAUAUGUUGUUGAACAAGGGCGAAUUGAAAGUGAAGUCUAUCACAACUAGCUUCCCU
Molecule: long non-coding RNA, 301 nt
Filed under: Vigna radiata
Lineage: Eukaryota; Viridiplantae; Streptophyta; Magnoliopsida; Fabales; Fabaceae
Description: long non-coding RNA (VRAD_LNC005088)
Source: RNAcentral